RNAcentral lists this ribosomal RNA (603 nucleotides) under uncultured bacterium. Its description in RNAcentral is "bacterial SSU rRNA". It matches the Rfam family "Bacterial small subunit ribosomal RNA", at positions 937 to 1533 of the family's 1533-position model. The record is from RNAcentral.
ACAUGUGGUUCAAUUCGACGCAACGCGAAGAACCUUACCUGGGCUUGAAGUGCACUGGACCAGCCGUGGAAACAUGGCCUUCCCGCAAGGGACCGGUGUAGAGGUGCUGCAUGGCUGUCGUCAGCUCGUGCCGUGAGGUGUUGGGUUAAGUCCCGCAACGAGCGCAACCCUUACUUGUAGUUGCCACCCGCAAGGGGGAACUCUACAAGGACUGCUCCGGAUAACGGAGAGGAAGGUGGGGAUGAGGUCAAGUCAGCAUGGCCUUUAUGUCCAGGGCCACACACGUGUUACAAUGCGCACCACAGAGCGUCGCAAACCCGCGAGGGGGAGCUAAUCGCAAAAAAGUGCGCUCAGUUCGGAUUGCAGUCUGCAACUCGACUGCAUGAAGCUGGAGUCGCUAGUAAUGGCGCAUCAGAACGGCGCCGUGAAUACGUUCCCGGGCCUUGUACACACCGCCCGUCACAUCACGAAGGUGGGCUGUACUAGAAAUCGCCAAGCUAACUCGCCUCGGCGAGAGGCAGGCGCUCAAGGUAUGGCUCAUGAUUGGGGUGAAGUCGUAACAAGGUAGCCGUAGGAGAACCUGCGGCUGGACUCACCUCCUUA